AACGAACGCUGGCGGCGCGCCUAAUACAUGCAAGUCGAGCGAGAAGGUGUAGCAAUACACUUGUAAAGCGGCGAACGGGUGAGGAAUACAUGGGUAAUCUACCAUCGAGUGGGGAAUAACCAGCCGAAAGGUUGGCUAAUACCGCGUACGCUUCCGAGUCUUCGGGCUUGGAAGGAAAGCCGCACUGUGAGUGCGGCGCUCUUUGAUGAGCUCAUGUCCUAUCAGCUUGUUGGUAGGGUAACGGCCUACCAAGGCUUUGACGGGUAGCUGGUCUGAGAGGACGAUCGGCCACACUGGCACUGCGACACGGGCCAGACUCCUACGGGAGGCAGCAGUAAGGAAUAUUGCGCAAUGGGCGAAAGCCUGACGCAGCGACGCCGCGUGGGGGAUGAAGGUCUUCGGAUUGUAAACCCCUUUCGGGAGGGAGAUGGAGCGAGCAAUCGUUCGGACGGUACCUCCAGAAGCAGCCACGGCCAACUUCGUGCCAGCA
This 490-nucleotide ribosomal RNA is filed under the name uncultured bacterium. Its description in RNAcentral is "bacterial SSU rRNA". It matches the Rfam family "Bacterial small subunit ribosomal RNA", at positions 29 to 513 of the family's 1533-position model. The record is from RNAcentral.